AACGCACAUUGCGCCCGCUGGUAUUCCGGCGGGCAUGCCUGUUCGAGCGUCAUUUCACCACUCAAGCCCAGCUUGGUGUUGGAGCACCCGGCCGCCUGGCGAUCGGGGCCCCCAAGUACAUCGGCGGUCUCGCUAGGACCCUGAGCGCAGUAACUCGCGGUAAAACGCGCCUCGCUCGGAAGUUCCCAGCGGGCUUCCAGCCGCUAAACCCCCUAAUUUUCUUAGGUUGACCUCGGAUCAGGUAGGAAUACCCGCUGAACUUAA
RNAcentral lists this unclassified non-coding RNA (264 nucleotides) under uncultured Magnaporthaceae. Its description in RNAcentral is "sequence contains ITS2". The stretch from base 1 to 52 matches the Rfam family "5.8S ribosomal RNA", at positions 103 to 154 of the family's 154-position model. The record is from RNAcentral. Lineage: Eukaryota; Fungi; Ascomycota; Sordariomycetes; Magnaporthales; Magnaporthaceae.